GGGCGCAUGGUGUAGUUGGUUAUCACAUCCGCUUAGCAGGUACACACCUGAAAGAUGCGGGGGGUGCUGGGUUCAAUUCCCAGUGCGUCCA
RNAcentral lists this transfer RNA (91 nucleotides) under Steccherinum ochraceum. Its description in RNAcentral is "tRNA-Ala". It matches the Rfam family "tRNA". From Rfam's summary of the family: Transfer RNA (tRNA) molecules are approximately 80 nucleotides in length. Lineage: Eukaryota; Fungi; Basidiomycota; Agaricomycetes; Polyporales; Steccherinaceae. The record is from RNAcentral.